GAUGAACGCUGGCGGCGUGCUUAACACAUGCAAGUCGAACGGAAAGGCCCUGCUUUUGUGGGGCGCUCGAGUGGCGAACGGGUGAGUAACACGUGAGUAACCUGCCCUUGACUUUGGGGUAACGUCAGGAAACUUGGGCUAACAUCGGAUAGGAGCUCCUGCGGCAUGGUGGGGGAUGGAAAGCUUCGGCGGUUGGGGAUGGACUGGCUGGUUAUGAGCUUGGUGGUGGGGUAGUGGCUGACGAAGGGUUAGACGGGUAGCCGGCAUGAGAGGGGAACCAGCGACAAGACGCCUACGGGAGGCAGCAGUGUGGAACUGGAGGCAAUGGUGGGGAGUAUUACCCAGCAAGGCGGAGCGUGGGGCGAAGGCGUCGGGUUCGGGAAGACGGCCUUCGGGUUGUGAACCGCUUUGGCCUGAUACGAAGCGUGAGUGACGGUAAUGUGUAAAGAAGCACCGGCUAACUACGUG
RNAcentral lists this ribosomal RNA (468 nucleotides) under uncultured bacterium. RNAcentral describes it as "partial 16S ribosomal RNA". It matches the Rfam family "Bacterial small subunit ribosomal RNA", at positions 28 to 507 of the family's 1533-position model. The record is from RNAcentral.